UAUAGGAAACUGGCAAUGAGGGCAAGGCUUCGUGUUACUUUCGAUCCAAGAAACGCUCAGCGACUCUGAUAACUUCCCCAAGUCUCUCAACCAAUCAGAAGCGUUGUUGCACGUCACAGGUCUGUGCGACUCAAGGCUGCACCUCCCGCAAAAGGUAUGACCACAUAGACACACAACGUUUAGACCAUACUCGUCAAAAUAAAUGUCUCGGUGAAACUCGAUGAAGUAACCGCAACCCGGCGAAGGACAACGUCUGAUCGUCAAACCCUUGUUUUGUUCCAGGAAAGAUCUGAGAACGUACUCGUUGUGCAUGCCUUUAGCCUCCAACGUUAGCAUAGCUAGGUUUUUCUCCACGGAGAAGAAGCUAUCGUUAUAGUUCGAAUCGGUUAUCAAACCCGAUCGCAUCAACAGCUUCUCCUUGUCUUCGCUCAAACGCUCCGAAACGCGUUGCGAGUCCCACUGGAGAUUCAUGAGGAGUACGGUCGCAGCGGGUUUUGAGAGCAAGAAGAUCUCGGAGAGAUCAUCGAUCUGUUUGUUCAUCUUCUCGUUGAGAUCGUCCCUAGUGAGAACAGAGUACUCUCGCUCUGGAUCGUGCUCCAUGUUUGCUUUUCUUGAAGUUGACGAAGAUAGGAAAGAACGAAUCACCAAGAGGGCAGAUGAUCGAUUAAGGAAACAGGGUUCAUGGUUUACCAAAGACUUCCGUUUUUAUAGGAAAUCUAGGGUUUCACACGGCUUCGCUAUAUUCCUUUUUGAAAAAGUAAACUAAGCCCAUUGGGCCUUAGUCUUAGCUGAUUUUUCCUUUUUUUGAUGGAUAAAGGUUAAUUAGUUGUUGUUCAAAAAAAAAAAAAGGUUAAUUAGUUUUAUUUUAGUAUUAAAAAUAUGCAAGUGAUUAACUAUCGACUUGAAUUUGAUGGUCAAAAAUAGAUUUGUUAAACCAGAUUCUAAUGGUUUCCUUUUCCACUGCCUUGGCGUAGAUAAAAAGCAGAUUUUCUUUGAUAAUGAAACCUGGCCCAUUGGGCCUUAAUAUUAUUUGAUUUUUUCCUUUUUCGGCUGGAAAAAAGGUUUAAUAACCCAACAUUAUUCUAUUCCUAUAUUUGAUAAUUGAUUACAGCUCCACUUGAGAAACUGUCGGCAUUGAACAAUCAGCAUCAAGCCUUCUCUCAUGUUCCGUAUGUACUCUUGGCUAGUGAAGUGGGAUUCGUCGAAAGAUUCUAGCUCGGACUUGGCUUCCACCAUUGCGACAUCACUCGCCUCCCAUCGAUCCACACACGUAACGACAACCGCUUCUGGUCCGUUCGCGAGUUGUGGUAGCAACGGUCCAACACAGGCUCCAUAGUAUCCGUCUGCCGUUUUGUGGGACUCCACUGUCUGCAUACACUCGCUACAUAAACGACCACUACAAACAAGAGAGUAAACACACAGGUUAGUUUAUGAUUAGUCAACACUAAAAAUCGGUCAUGGCAGCAAAACGUUUCUCAAAUUUUUAUUUUAAAAAAAAUCAGUUUAAGCUGCGUCUAAGCAGUAAUCUCCUAUAAAAAAACUAAUUAAAGCCUAACGAUUUCUAGAACAUUGUUAACAAUUAAUAAGAGAACCAUGACAAUCUAAUAAGAUCUAUUUUCUUUUAACCAACCUGCAGUUUAAGCGCUGCUUAGGCACUAAUCUAAUUAAAGUCUUAACGAUUGUUUAACAUUUAAUAAAAGAAACAUGACAAUCUUAGAACUAUUUUUUUUUACCAACCUAGGCACUAAUCUAAUUAAAGCCUAAUGAUUUCUUGAACAUUGUUAACAUUUAAUUAGAGAAACAUGACAAUUUAAUAUCAGUUUUUUUUACCAACCUGCAGGCACUAAUCUAAUUAAAGCCUAAUGAUUUUCUUCAACAUCAUUAACACUUAAUUAGAGAAACAUGACAAUCUAAGAUCAGUUUUUUUAUUUUUACCAACCUGCAGUAGAGACAUUCCACAAACCGGAACAGCCUUGAACGAGAACCAACCUCUAUAGGAAACUGGCAAUGAGGGCAAGGCUUCGUGUUACUUUCGAUCCAAGAAACGCUCAGCGACUCUGAUAACUUCCCCAAGUCUCUCAACCAAUCAGAAGCGUUGUUGCACGUCACAGGUCUGUGCGACUCAAGGCUGCACCUCCCGCAAAAGGUAUGACCACAUAGACACACAACGUUUAGACCAUACUCGUCAAAAUAAAUGUCUCGGUGAAACUCGAUGAAGUAACCGCAACCCGGCGAAGGACAAC
This 2243-nucleotide long non-coding RNA is filed under the name Brassica napus (rape). RNAcentral's name for it is "long non-coding RNA (BNAP_LNC023723)". Lineage: Eukaryota; Viridiplantae; Streptophyta; Magnoliopsida; Brassicales; Brassicaceae. The record is from RNAcentral.